Molecule: non-coding RNA, 327 nt
Organism: Biomphalaria pfeifferi
Lineage: Eukaryota; Metazoa; Mollusca; Gastropoda; Planorbidae
Source: the annotation of a GenBank genome assembly
AUCCAUUAGAUAUAUUUAUUAGAUCUUGGCAAGUAGAAACAAACAUCCAGGUUAGAUUUGUGGGGAGGGGUGCAGCAAUACUCUAAUGAACAAUGACAUCACCAUACACAUCGAACUGAAGGAAUACAAAGUACAUAUUUGGCUAGAGAUACUUUUAAUAUUGAAUAUAUUCUUGUAAUAUUAGCAGCACAAACUAAACAUAACCCACUAAUGAUAAAGUUUUAUUGACUAAUACUGUAACAAACUAAAAAUAGAUUACCAUGACCUUGCACCAGUGUAUUCAGUACAAAAAGGCAUAAUGUUCCGUCUAUUUGUUUAAGAGUUCUG